This 3817-nucleotide unclassified non-coding RNA is filed under the name Melitaea cinxia (Glanville fritillary). RNAcentral's name for it is "misc RNA ENSMCXG00005014216.1". The record is from RNAcentral. Lineage: Eukaryota; Metazoa; Arthropoda; Insecta; Lepidoptera; Nymphalidae.
AAAUAAUGCAUUAUUUUAGAACGAACUUGGUUAGCAUAAAAAAGGUUAUAGUGAGCCAACCUUAAAAGAUAGAUAUAUGCUGUCGCGGACUUUUUUUAGAACUUUUAAAGAGGAUCAAUUCUGUUGUACAUGAUUUUUGCGAAACUUUAACUGUUUUCACAGCGCACGCAGCGGAAGCUCUCAAAAGGAAAAAAGAAUCCCCGAUUUUGAAACAUUCUUUAUUGGUGCUCCGCUCCUUUUGGUCUUAGCGUGAUGAUAUAUAGCCUAUAAUCUUCCUCGAUAAAUGAGCUAUCUAACACUAAAAGAAUUUUUCAAAUUGGACCAGUAGUUUCCGAGAUUAGCGUGUUCAAAGAAAGAAACAAACAAACAAACAAAAACUCUACAGCUUUAUAAUAUUAGUAUAGAUGUUGUUCAAACAACUCAAACUUCUCAAACAACUCAAACCCCGUUAAUGAGGUAAAUAAAAAACGUGUCACUUUUAUAUUUAAUUGUUUAUUUAUUUUAGUUACAAUAAAGAAUAGUCUGUAAUAACAAUUUUAUAUAUUAGCAUUUUUAUAAUAUAAUACAUAGUAUGUAUUACCUAUUAACAUUUAAUGAAAUAAUAUGUAAAUACCCCUACAAUCAACCGCCUUUCCUUUUUUAACAUGUUUUGUGUUAACAAAAUAUUGUGGAUAAAUCCUAUUGUUUCUUGACAAUAUAGGUAUACUAGCUGACCCCGCAAACGUAGUUUUACCAUAUAUGUUAUUAACCCCCUUAAUCCCCCCCCCCCUUAUAACUUAGGGGUACGAAAACUAGAUGUUGGCCGAUUCUCAGACCUACCCGAUAUGCACGCGAAAUUUCAUAAAAAUCGGUACAGCCGUUUCGGAAGAAUAUUGUAACUAACAUUGUGACACGAGAAUUUUAUUAUAUAACAAGAUAUAUCAUCGUAAUAUAAAUCACUAUAAAAUAAAAAUGUAAUAACAGAAACAUUCCAAUGUUUAUAAUAAUAAAGUUGUUAAAUUUAUGAACAUAAUUUAAAAAUAUACAAAUUGCAAUAAUUUAUGCUUAUAUUAUCUGCCAGGCCUUCAUACCUCAUUUACUCCAUUCCAAUAAAAUAGCCAAUUGUAGGUCAGAAUAUCUAAAAAUAUUUCACUUGGAACAUUAAAUAAAUACCCGUCCAUAUCUUUAUUACAAUGUUUACUAUAUUUUUCCUACGCGGUUUUUUAAUUUUUAAAGUAACAGUAAAAAUAAAUACAAAAUGUAUAUAUUUUUUUAACGAUUUGAUUGACUAAGUUCUCAUGCAUUUGUCAACGAACUAUCACAGCGCUUGUUGUGGCAUAAUCACUUAGUCGGAUCGGUCAGACAUCGGCUUCAAUGUUUUUUUAGCCAUGUAAAUAAACUAUUUAAUUGAUGUUGUUGUAAUCAGGGUUAAUGUUACAUUACAGCAAUCAUAUUUAUGUGUUUCAAAUUUAGCAAUCCUCUAUUUUAAUGAUAUCAUUAUGUGGGAUUAUGAGGUAUCAACCGCCGAUCACCAACCCACCUGCCCAGCGUGGUGACUAUGGGCAAAACACAUGAGUUCACAACAUUUUUGGCGCGAACUUGGGGAGGCCUAUGUCCUGCAGUGGACUGUAAUAGGCUGAAAUGAUGAUGGGGUAUCAAAUUCAUUAAUUUGAAAAUGCGGGUUCCUAAGCAUCUAGAUAUUUCAUAACAAUUAUUUUUUUUUUACUUUUUCAAAGGUUUAAGGGCAAAGUCAAGAAUAAUAAUGAUACAAAACUGCGGCAAUGACAUAAUACGGCUUUAUUUCUAAAGCGUUGGACCAUUAUAUGAUCCCAAAAGAAGAAACUAAAUUUAAUAAUUGAUGAUUUUUUAAUUGUGUUGACUAUAUGUUAAGAACCAAGAGUUCAAGUUGCUAGAAUCAAAUUUACAUUUGAUACAUCACAUCUUAAAAAAAAACCUGCCAUUAGAAAAACAUAAAAAGAAGGCGGGUAAUUAUAACUCUUAACUAUCUUAAUAAUAUAUUAAUAUUCACAAUGUAUAUUACAUAAUAAAAUGUAUAAAAUGCUUUUACAAAUAUACUCUUAUAAGUAUUUAUAUGAAUUUAGUAGUCAUACCAGCUCUACGUACAUUAUUGUGAUGAUGGAAGUAAAAUAUACUUGCAUUAGUUAUCUCUUUAUUUAAACUUCUAACUGGAAACUAAGGGUAUGUUUAUUGUAAUCGUGAUUUUGUAAAACUUAAGUACCUUUUAUAGAAGCUUACAAAUCCGACCAAAUUGGAAUACGAGAACAUCUGGUGUUAUAAUGGAUUUAUUAGGAAAUUGGUAAUUUUAAAUUGUGACGAGAUUAAAAUAAAUAUAUACUCUUGAAAAAGUACAUAGAAGUAAAAUAUAAAUUAUAUUUAAAAAAUGAGAAUCUAUAUUCCGAAAUAGUUAUAUAAAUAAAAAGAGCCGAGCGAAUUCGCUUACAUAUUUUACUGACAAAAUAAAAUGAUUAAAUAAAUCGUGGUUUUUAAUUAGGUAUGUUUACUACAUCUAAAACUCAGAACUGGCAUUUUAGAUUAAACAGACAACUAAAAACAAAUUAAAUUUAAAAUAGAUAUUUAGAUAACGUUACACUUAAAUAAAAAUAAAAAAUGAAAUUUUGUAGUGUUUUAAAUAAAGAAAAAGGAGGGUCUUUAACUAAGUUUUAUUAAUUUUACAUUAUAUAUAAACAUAUAAAAUGGAAUGUUACUUAUACUGUCACACAUUAGGCUAAAAAAAAUUGUAGGUAAAACUGUUAUGAAAUAAUGCAUAUUUUUACAUUAAUAAUAAUGGAAUGGAAAUGAUAGUGAUAAAUAGGAAAGUUAUUUUUCAAAUCUAAUAAGAAACAAAUUUAUGGUAUAGCACAAAUACAGGUAUAAAGUUAUAAAAAUAUUUAUAAUAUAUUUUAUCGAGACGAUGGCAUAUUUUUUUUAAAUAUAUUAUUGUAGUUCGAAGUAAGAAGUUAAGAGAAAUUUGUUGUAAUUUUAGAAAUAAUAACGUAUACACAAAAUACUUUUAUGUCCUGUUAUUUUAUUUUUUUUUUUUUUUUUUAUUAUGAAUAUUAAGUAAACUUGUUUAUUUUCAACUGAUUAAUAUCUGUUUCACGUUAACAAUGUCUAUGGUUUAUUAUCUUUAAAGUUAAUUAGUUUUUCUUUUUUUAUAUUUCAGCAUCAAAAAUGCUCGUGCACCAAAACGAACGGAUUGAUUGAUUUCAUAAAAAGCGUGACGUAUUGAAUUGGGCGGAUUUAUUAAGUGAUUUAGUAUGUCCGAGGCUUAUAAAUGGGUUUCUCGAAAUAUACUUCUUUAUCAGAAACAGGCAAUACCUUUUAUUGGAUAACAUAUUCAGAUAUUUUCUUUUCUAGCGUUUUGUGAAUUUUUGACUUUAGAUUUUUUUUUAUUCAGUUCACUCACUACUGAUGUUUUAUUUCUAAAAGUUUUUGUCACACCGACAAAUAAUUGAUAGCAUAAAAUUUUAAACUUCAUCGUAGUGUUAACUGUUUUUAAACGGUUUUAUUUAGCUCACCCCGUUUGUUUUAUUUUUUAUUAUUCUUGGGUCAAAUUUAGUAAUUCAAAUUUUACCCUCUUCCUGUCAACCGAUUAAUCUGAAAUUUUGUAUACACUUUGGAUUUUGGUGACAAUACAAUUAUGUUUAUUCAUUAUCAUUAUAAAUUCAAGAUGGCCGCCGCUACAAAAUGGCGGAUAACGUAGGUUUUAUCGAUCCCAUCAAUAUGGGUAUGAAAUGAAAGUGCUCAACCAGUUUAAUCAAUGUACUAUAUAAAAUUAAAAUCCAAGAUGGCGGCCUCUACAAAAUGGCGGAUAACU